Molecule: ribosomal RNA, 254 nt
Filed under: uncultured bacterium
Lineage: Bacteria
Description: partial 16S ribosomal RNA
Rfam family: Bacterial small subunit ribosomal RNA
Source: RNAcentral
UACAGAGGUCUCAAGCGUUGUUCGGAUUCAUUGGGCGUAAAGGGUGCGUAGGUGGCGCGCUAAGUCAGGUGUGAAAUUUCGGAGCUUAACUCCGAAACUGCAUUUGAUACUGGCGUGCUUGAGGACUGGAGAGGAGACUGGAAUUCAUGGUGUAGCAGUGAAAUGCGUAGAUAUCGUAAGGAAGACCAGUGGCGAAGGCGGGUCUCUGGACAGUUCCUGACGCUGAGGCACGAAGGCCAGGGGAGCAAACGGGG